GACCGAUAGUGAACCAGUACCGUGAGGGAAAGGUGAAAAGCACCCCGGAAGGGGAGUGAAAUAGAACCUGAAACCGUGUGCUUACAAGUAGUCAGAGCCCGUUAAUGGGUGAUGGCGUGCCUUUUGUAGAAUGAACCGGCGAGUUACGAUUUGAUGCAAGGUUAAGCAGUAAAUGUGGAGCCGUAGCGAAAGCGAGUCUGAAUAGGGCGUUUAGUAUUUGGUCGUAGACCCGAAACCAGGUGAUCUACCCUUGGUCAGGUUGAAGUUCAGGUAACACUGAAUGGAGGACCGAACCGACUUACGUUGAAAAGUGAGCGGAUGAACUGAGGGUAGCGGAGAAAUUCCAAUCGAACCUGGAGAUAGCUGGUUCUCUCCGAAAUAGCUUUAGGGCUAGCCUCAAGUGAUGAUUAUUGGAGGUAGAGCACUGUUUGGACGAGGGGCCCCUCUCGGGUUACCGAAUUCAGACAAACUCCGAAUGCCAAUUAAUUUAACUUGGGAGUCAGAACAUGGGUGAUAAGGUCCGUGUUCGAAAGGGAAACAGCCCAGACCACCAGCUAAGGUCCCAAAAUAUAUGUUAAGUGGAAAAGGAUGUGGCGUUGCCCAGACAACUAGGAUGUUGGCUUAGAAGCAGCCAUCAUUUAAAGAGUGCGUAAUAGCUCAC
Molecule: ribosomal RNA, 661 nt
Filed under: Escherichia coli
Lineage: Bacteria; Pseudomonadati; Pseudomonadota; Gammaproteobacteria; Enterobacterales; Enterobacteriaceae
Description: partial 23S ribosomal RNA
Rfam family: Bacterial large subunit ribosomal RNA
Source: RNAcentral